AUGGACAUGGAGCUCCCACAACACACCAUGGAAGGCCUGGAGCUCCUUCUCACAGCAGGUGCACCGCGUACAGGAGGGAAGACCAACGCUCCUCCGGGUCUGCUUCUUCCCGGGUCGCCGUUGCUCCACGGAAGGCGGAAAGUCAUAGAAGAUGGUUCAUUAGCUUCAAACAGAUCAGUGGUUACUGAAUCAGUCUCAAAAUCUUGUUCCUCCGCAGAAGUGAAAGAUGAAGAUGCUGCAAUUGCAGUUGUGAUUGAUGCAGCUGAACUUAAAUGGGGAGAGCAGUCAUUUAGGAGAGGACAAGCUCCUGGAAGGUUUACAUCAGGACGCCAUAAUGGCCAUGGAUCAUCAGAAAGGGAGGCACCUCCACCCGGCUAUGUGUGCCGCAGCUGCGGAGUUCCAGGCCAUUUCAUUCAACAUUGCCCACAGGAAAACCAGAUGCCUCCACCUAGCUAUACCUGCUACAGAUGCCGGGUUCCAGGGCAUUUUAUUCAGCAUUGCCCAACCAUUGGCGGUUCCAAGACUCUGAACAUGAGGACCAUGUGGACUAAACUUGCAUGUGGGUGCACCAAGGAGAAGGUCCCACUUAUCAAGGGAUAA
RNAcentral lists this ribosomal RNA (600 nucleotides) under Triticum aestivum (bread wheat). RNAcentral's name for it is "partial small subunit ribosomal RNA". Lineage: Eukaryota; Viridiplantae; Streptophyta; Magnoliopsida; Poales; Poaceae. The record is from RNAcentral.